Molecule: unclassified non-coding RNA, 701 nt
Filed under: Hevea brasiliensis (rubber tree)
Lineage: Eukaryota; Viridiplantae; Streptophyta; Magnoliopsida; Malpighiales; Euphorbiaceae
Source: RNAcentral
AUCAAACAUUAAUAAAGAAUUGGAAACAAAAAUAAAACUGUUGGACUUCAUCACGCUUUAAAAUUAAGAGGCAAAAUCGCACAAGAAAAUUUUGACAUUUAAACUAAAGCUUGAUCAUGCAACUAAGCACACUGAAGUGUUUAAUCAAUGAAUUAAUUAAACCCGGGCAAGAUAAAGUACUUAAAUAUAGUUUAAAUCAAACACACAAUUCCUUAACUUCUAGCAAUACUUUUAACUUGUGUAUCAGAAUAACACAACCUCCGUUAGUCCACUUAGAAUACUAGAUCCUCAUUAAUAAUUUCAUACCCAAUAGUAAAUCCUUCGAUUAUAUGUCAUGAUCCUGCACAUAUGAACUUAAAUCCACUGAUAUAAAAAUACAUGUGUGCGUCUACAAAAGAAUAAAUGAAACCCACACUACAUUAAUCCACUGCUUUUACAAAUUUUGACAGCCAACUGAAGUAUACGACUCAAACCGUGUCUAGCUUCUAUAAAUAUCUUGCCCAAACUUUGUAAUUAUGUGAUCAAAAGAACUAAACCUAGCUUUGAUCAAUAUGUCUUCACUUUAGCUUAUGAAUGCCUACUAGUACUACCGAUAUCAAGAGAAUCAUUGUGAAAAUGUAGAUUUCGGGAAAUAAAAACAAAAUUAGGUCUACAAAAGACAGUGUACCUUGUCGGGGCGGGCCCCCGUAUGGUUCGUGAUG